AUGCCGACGUCACUAACGGACGAUGUCGUCUCCGAGAUACUCUCCUGGGCGCCGGUGAAAUCAGCGUGCCGGUUCCGGUGCGUGUGCAGGGGUUGGCGCGCGCUCAUCUCCGACACCGCGUUCCUCGCGGCGCACAAGGCCCGCACGGAGCCGCAGCUUCUCCUCGUUGCCAACUACUAA
This 180-nucleotide ribosomal RNA is filed under the name Triticum aestivum (bread wheat). RNAcentral describes it as "partial small subunit ribosomal RNA". The record is from RNAcentral. Lineage: Eukaryota; Viridiplantae; Streptophyta; Magnoliopsida; Poales; Poaceae.